RNAcentral lists this unclassified non-coding RNA (65 nucleotides) under Schizosaccharomyces pombe (fission yeast). Its description in RNAcentral is "non-coding RNA (predicted)". Lineage: Eukaryota; Fungi; Ascomycota; Schizosaccharomycetes; Schizosaccharomycetales; Schizosaccharomycetaceae. The record is from RNAcentral.
UUAAAGUACGAAAUUAAUUGACUCAUCUAUAACCGUUCUUUAUUUUUUUUAUUUUUUCAAUGAAU